RNAcentral lists this ribosomal RNA (389 nucleotides) under uncultured bacterium. Its description in RNAcentral is "bacterial SSU rRNA". It matches the Rfam family "Bacterial small subunit ribosomal RNA", at positions 29 to 407 of the family's 1533-position model. The record is from RNAcentral.
AAUGAACGCUGGCGGCGCGCCUAAUACAUGCAAGUCGAGCGAGAAGACGUAGCAAUACGUUUGUAAAGCGGCGAACGGGUGAGGAAUACAUGGGUAACCUACCCUCGAGUGGGGAAUAACUAGCCGAAAGGUUAGCUAAUACCGCGUACGCUCCUUGGACUUCGGUUCAGGGAGGGAAAGCGAUACCGUGGGUAUCGCGCUCUUGGUUGGGCUCAUGUCCUAUCAGCUUGUUGGUGAGGUAACGGCUCACCAAGGCUUCGACGGGUAGCUGGUCUGAGAGGACGAUCAGCCACACUGGCACUGCGACACGGGCCAGACUCCUACGGGAGGCAGCAGUAAGGAAUAUUGCGCAAUGGGCGAAAGCCUGACGCAGCGACGCCGCGUGGGGG